GGCACUGGGUGAAAAUUGCAUAAAUGAACCUGGCACUGAAUGAGUUAAGACUCAUUUGGUUCACGUUUGCCACCAGGAAGCUUGUUUUCUUUUUGCAUUAUUCACACACAGACCUAUUUAUCCACAUGUAGAAACCUCCUACCAGAGUCGAGUGAUUUUCCUUUAACAUAAAAAAUUUGCAUUUACAAAGAUUUCUUUUUCUUAAAGGGAUUUUCUCCUUUAUUUUUAGGAGACGCAUUCUCUUACAUAAAAGCUUUUCUGCAAGUGAGUGGAGCUGCAUCACAUUUAACCUUAAGGGUCCCCGAGGACACAUUCUUUGAAACCUUUAUUCGAUCCCCCACAUCAGCUUCUCGAGCGCAUCUGCAUGUGAUUUUCACUUUCAUAUUCAAACCUUGUCGAGCUGAAGAAACACGGGGCCGUUCGCACCCAGCAGCCUCUGUUUUCUCCUCUAUUUCUGUGUAGCUGUCAGAUGUGCAUGCUGUUUGGCUAUGAGCCAUACAUUGUUUGUCCUUGAAUGUGCAUUUCCUGACGCUAAUUAUCUGUAACUUAAAAAGAAACAGCGGUGUAAGUUAAUUUUCCUCUGAAG
Molecule: non-coding RNA, 586 nt
Organism: Xyrichtys novacula (pearly razorfish)
Lineage: Eukaryota; Metazoa; Chordata; Actinopteri; Labriformes; Labridae
Source: the annotation of a GenBank genome assembly